This 253-nucleotide ribosomal RNA is filed under the name uncultured bacterium. RNAcentral's name for it is "partial 16S ribosomal RNA". It matches the Rfam family "Bacterial small subunit ribosomal RNA", at positions 524 to 776 of the family's 1533-position model. The record is from RNAcentral.
UACAGAGGUCUCAAGCGUUGUUCGGAUUCAUUGGGCGUAAAGGGUGCGUAGGUGGCGGGGUAAGUCAGGUGUGAAAUUUCGGAGCUCAACUCCGAAACUGCAUUUGAUACUGCCUUGCUUGAGGACUGGAGAGGAGACUGGAAUUCACGGUGUAGCAGUGAAAUGCGUAGAUAUCGUGAGGAAGACCAGUGGCGAAGGCGGGUCUCUGGACAGUUCCUGACGCUGAGGCACGAAGGUCAGGGGAGCAAACGGG